AAACCAACAGGGAUUGCCUUAGUAACGGCGAGUGAAGCGGCAAAAGCUCAAAUUUGAAAUCUGGCACUUUCAGUGUCCGAGUUGUAAUUUGAAGAAGGUAACUUUGGAGUUGGCCCUUGUCUAUGUUCCUUGGAACAGGACGUCACAGAGGGUGAGAAUCCCGUGCGAUGAGGUGUCCAAUUCUAUGUAAAGUGCUUUCGAAGAGUCGAGUUGUUUGGGAAUGCAGCUCUAAGUGGGUGGUAAAUUCCAUCUAAAGCUAAAUAUUGGCGAGAGACCGAUAGCGAACAAGUACAGUGAUGGAAAGAUGAAAAGAACUUUGAAAAGAGAGUGAAAAAGUACGUGAAAUUGUUGAAAGGGAAGGGCUUGAGAUCAGACUCGGUAUUUUGCAAGCCUAUCCUUCGUGGAGAGGUUUAUUAGCAGCUUACCGGGCCAGCAUCGGUUUGGAUGGUAGGAUAAUGGCAUUGGAAUGUGGCUCCUCGGAGUGUUAUAGCCUUUGUUGAUACUGCCUAUCUAGACCGAGGACUGCGUCUUUGACUAGGAUGCUGGCGUAAUGAUCUUAAGCCGCCCGUCUUGA
This is a ribosomal RNA of 574 nucleotides. It matches the Rfam family "Eukaryotic large subunit ribosomal RNA", at positions 62 to 657 of the family's 3401-position model.